GGAGAUGUAGUUCAGUUGGUAGAAUAAUUGCCUAACAUGCAUAAAGCCCUGGGUUCUAGUCCCAGCUCCA
This 70-nucleotide transfer RNA is filed under the name Neotoma lepida (desert woodrat). It matches the Rfam family "tRNA". From Rfam's summary of the family: Transfer RNA (tRNA) molecules are approximately 80 nucleotides in length. Their secondary structure includes four short double-helical elements and three loops (D, anti-codon, and T loops). Lineage: Eukaryota; Metazoa; Chordata; Mammalia; Rodentia; Cricetidae. The record is from Rfam by way of RNAcentral.